Molecule: ribosomal RNA, 253 nt
Filed under: uncultured bacterium
Lineage: Bacteria
Description: partial 16S ribosomal RNA
Rfam family: Bacterial small subunit ribosomal RNA
Source: RNAcentral
UACAGAGGGUGCGAGCGUUGUCCGGAAUCACUGGGCGUAAAGGGCGCGUAGGUGGCGCGACAAGUCAGUGGUGAAAGCUCGACGCUCAACGUCGAGUCGGCCACUGAUACUGUUGGGCUUGAGCACUGUAGAGGCUAAUGGAAUUCCGGGUGUAGCGGUGGAAUGCGCAGAUAUCAGGAGGAACACCGAUGGCGAAGGCAGCCCCCUGGGUCAAGACUGACGCUCAUGCACGAAAGCGUGGGGAGCAAACAGG